AUGCCUAAGAAAUUAAUAGCUAGUCUACAUCUAGGAGCAAGAUUGUUGGGGAUUUGGCUCACUGGAGCAUGCGUAGCCGCGGCGAACCGAGGCCGGGGUGAAAACUCCGACGGGAACGAUAGAGGUGGCGGAGCAGAGGACGAGCCGGCCCCGGCGACGGCCUGCGGCAUCGGUCCCGUGCUGAACGCCACACUGGAGGUCGAGAAGGAUGGUCCGCCGACCGGACAAAACCCUCGGAUGGGGGUCAAGAAAACCCGCGAGGCCAAUGGUGUCCCAACAAGGGGCAGCUCCGUCGACGGCGCCGGCGCCGAGCCCAGGACCACAAGAGGCGCCUUCUUCCAACGGUGGGGCCGACCACUUCUCCGCCAGUGUGCCCGUCGACCGCCGGUGUCCCCAGGCUUCCCGCGGGCCCAGGCUCGCCGCCUCGGUUGCGGCUGUGGUGCCCCGACUCUAGAGGCCAAGAACCGCGGCGACGAAGGCCCCCGCCCUUCUGCUCGUGGCGAGCCCCAGCGGUUCCUGCCUACAACCGCGAGCCCCGGGCUCGCUCCCUCCACCUUUCAUGCGCUCCAAGGCUGCGCCGACUGUGGCGCUCCGGUCCAAGAAGCCGGCGACUUCGUCGCGCUCCAGGACGCCGCCUACCGUGGCGCUCUAGUCCAAGAAGCCGGUGCCUUAGUCGCGCUCCAGGACACGACAAACCGUCGCGCUCCAGGACGCCGCAGACCAUCGCGCUCCAGGACGCCGCUGACCGUGCCGCUCCGAUGCAACAAGGCGACGCCUUCGUCGCUCUCCAGGAUGUUGCUCGUGGCCUUGUUGGUCUCCUCCAGGGCCCAGCGAGCCCCCCAGCAAUGCCCACGAGACCAACCAGACGAGCUCCAGGAGCCGCGUCGCGAAGCAUCGCCUAGGCGAGCCUCGACCUGCUGGGAGCAACUGCAGUUGCAUCAUCCAAUUGUUUUUGAGAGGAAGGCAUUAUUGAUGGGAGUUCACCAUUGGUGCAAGGUUGAGAAAAGGGCGCCAAGCUUGCUGAUGAUCAUCAUCCAGAGCUGCUUGGAGAAACUGCAAUCUGCGAGCAAAUGGGUGGCCGUCUCCGGCGUAGCACAGCAAAGCGAGCAAAAUGGGUUGUGUGGGAUGCCCUCGAUAGCCAGGUUGUCAGGCGCCGCCCUGGUGGACCGUAUGAGUGCUCUAUCGUCUGACCGCACGGCUCCUUCGAAUUGGCAUAGGUACGCCGACUUGGCGGUGUAG
RNAcentral lists this ribosomal RNA (1239 nucleotides) under Triticum aestivum (bread wheat). RNAcentral describes it as "partial small subunit ribosomal RNA". The record is from RNAcentral. Lineage: Eukaryota; Viridiplantae; Streptophyta; Magnoliopsida; Poales; Poaceae.